GAUGAACGCUGGCGGCGUGCCUAAUACAUGCAAGUCGAGCGAACGGACGAGAAGCUUGCUUCUCUGAUGUUAGCGGCGGACGGGUGAGUAACACGUGGAUAACCUACCUAUAAGACUGGGAUAACUUCGGGAAACCGGAGCUAAUACCGGAUAAUAUUUUGAACCGCAUGGUUCAAAAGUGAAAGACGGUCUUGCUGUCACUUAUAGAUGGAUCCGCGCUGCAUUAGCUAGUUGGUAAGGUAAAGGCUUACCAAGGCAACGAUGCAUAGCCGACCUGAGAGGGUGAUCGGCCACACUGGAACUGAGACACGGUCCCGACUCCUACGGGACGCAGCAGUAGGGAACCUUCCGCCAUGGGCGAAAGCCUGACGGAGCAACGCCGCGUGAGUGAUGAAGGUCUUCGGAUCAUAAAACUCUGUUAGUAGGGAAGAACAUAUGUGUAAGUAACUGUGCACAUCUUGACGGUACCUAAUCAGAAAGCCACGGCUAACUACGUG
This 497-nucleotide ribosomal RNA is filed under the name uncultured bacterium. Its description in RNAcentral is "partial 16S ribosomal RNA". It matches the Rfam family "Bacterial small subunit ribosomal RNA", at positions 28 to 507 of the family's 1533-position model. The record is from RNAcentral.